UUCCUAGCCCCCAAUGGUGGAUAUCUUGGCUCCUGUAUCGAUGACGAACGCAGCAGCGCGCGAUAGGUGUUGUGAUCCGCAAAACUAUAUUUGAUCAUCGAGUCUUCGAACGCAAACGGCACGCUCCUCACCAUCCGGUGGAGUAGCGUGCGCCCGUCUGAGCAUCGUUUA
Molecule: ribosomal RNA, 171 nt
Filed under: Guillardia theta
Lineage: Eukaryota; Cryptophyceae; Pyrenomonadales; Geminigeraceae
Description: 5.8S ribosomal RNA
Rfam family: 5.8S ribosomal RNA
About the family: 5.8S ribosomal RNA (5.8S rRNA) is a component of the large subunit of the eukaryotic ribosome.
Source: RNAcentral